This 34-nucleotide ribosomal RNA is filed under the name Byblis rorida. RNAcentral describes it as "partial 28S ribosomal RNA". The record is from RNAcentral. Lineage: Eukaryota; Viridiplantae; Streptophyta; Magnoliopsida; Lamiales; Byblidaceae.
CCUCAGGUCAGGCGGGACCACCCGCUGAGUUUAA